Molecule: long non-coding RNA, 497 nt
Organism: Spinacia oleracea (spinach)
Lineage: Eukaryota; Viridiplantae; Streptophyta; Magnoliopsida; Caryophyllales; Amaranthaceae
Exons: 4
Source: RefSeq, a predicted model, not a curated record
UUGUCUUUUCCCUUUUCUUCUUCUUCCCUGGACAUACAGGCGAGUAGGGCAAGGAAAUCAUUCGCGAAAUCAUCACAAACUCACCACCACCGGCGAAUCUACCACCGAAGAAAUACUUUACGGUCGACGACUUCAUUACCACCGGCGACCUCAACACAAUCUCUAGCGAACUACAAAUUUAGGCUUGGCUGGCAUUUAGGAAGUACUUCGUAACUAAUAUGCCAUCUGAUUUGACUCCGAUUUAUAAGCCCAUAUACAAAGUUUGUAAUAGUGUUCCUCAGCAGAUCCUAAACCUGGCACAUAAUAAGAAUGAGAUACAUAUAAGAGUUUGUUCUCAUUGACAAGUUCACAAAACGAGUUUAGCAUUUGCAUGCUGUAGCAUUCCAGGAAGUUAGAGAUGGGACGAAGGUUAACUACGAGGAUGCAUGGACAUUAAUUUGUGUCAUUCCACACAUCUGAAAGUGCAGACGCGAUAGCGAGAGCUUUUGAUCUUGGUA